Molecule: ribosomal RNA, 264 nt
Filed under: uncultured bacterium
Lineage: Bacteria
Description: partial 16S ribosomal RNA
Rfam family: Bacterial small subunit ribosomal RNA
Source: RNAcentral
UUAGUGGCGGACGGGUGAGUAACGCGUGGAAAACCUGCCGUAUACUGGGGGAUAACACUUAGAAAUAGGUGCUAAUACCGCAUAAGCGCACAGCUUCGCAUGAAGCGGUGUGAAAAACUCUGGUGGUAUACGAUGGUUCCGCGUCUGAUUAGCUAGUUGGUGGGGUAAUGGCCUACCAAGGCAACGAUCAGUAGCCGGGCCUGAGAGGGUGAACCGGCCACAUUGGGACUGAGACACGGCCCAAACUCCUACGGAAGGCAGCAG